RNAcentral lists this ribosomal RNA (253 nucleotides) under uncultured bacterium. RNAcentral describes it as "partial 16S ribosomal RNA". It matches the Rfam family "Bacterial small subunit ribosomal RNA", at positions 524 to 776 of the family's 1533-position model. The record is from RNAcentral.
GACGUAGGGCGUGAGCGUUGUCCGGAUUUAUUGGGCGUAAAGAGCUCGUAGGCGGCUCGUUGCGUCGGCUGUGAAAACCCGCAGCUCAACUGUGGGCUUGCAGCCGAUACGGGCGGGCUGGGAUUCGGUAGGGGAGACUGGAAUUCCUGGUGUAGCGGUGAAAUGCGCAGAUAUCAGGAGGAACACCGGUGGCGAAGGCGGGUCUCUGGGCCGAUAUCGACGCUGAGGAGCGAAAGCGUGGGGAGCGAACAGG